This 65-nucleotide transfer RNA is filed under the name Cardita variegata. Its description in RNAcentral is "tRNA-Gly". The record is from RNAcentral. Lineage: Eukaryota; Metazoa; Mollusca; Bivalvia; Carditida; Carditidae.
GCUUUUUUAGUAUAAUGUAGUAUUUCUUGUUUCCAUCAAGAGGGUUUCUUUAGAGAAAAGAAGUA